RNAcentral lists this long non-coding RNA (2518 nucleotides) under Pan troglodytes (chimpanzee). RNAcentral describes it as "lncRNA (ENSPTRG00000052888.1)". Lineage: Eukaryota; Metazoa; Chordata; Mammalia; Primates; Hominidae. The record is from RNAcentral.
GACUUCUGGGCUCUGCUCCAGACAACACCCGGCCAUGGGCAACAGGGCCCACCGCCCUGGGCGCGCCGCCGCCUCGGCCACUCUGAGUCGGCUCCGAGCGCGCACGCGCGCCGUGCACCUGCCCCAUCGCGCCCAGCUGCUGCCUGCCUGUUCUUCCAGCAGCUCAGGGCACGCCCGCGCUGUGCCGGCGGGGAGUGUCCGUCACUCUCAGCGCUCAGGAUCUCUCCCUUUCCAGGACCGCUAGGAAGCAGGAAACCCUUUUCCUCUCACGUUUACAUCCCAUUCAUUCUUCCUCCGGGCAAUUCAAGUCCAUUCACAGCCGCCACAGAUGCACGUGUGCACGCGCGCAGCUGCACCUUUAAAGAAACUCUCAAGUCCUGGCGGCCAGAAAACCAGCUUUCAGGCGGGGCGGUGGGGCUCCCCCUCCCCUUGCUUCGUCUCUGCAGAUCUUUGUGCUCUAGGGAGGGAUGGCCGCACAUUCUGACGAGCUCGAGGGUGGUGCAUAACGCGGAGGUCAAUUUUGCACAGUCCAGGCAAAAGAGACCCCCCCCCCGACCAACAUCCCUUCCUGUUCAGUUUCCCUCUCUGGCCCAGCGCGAAGGGCGAGGGGCGACAGAAGCCCGAGGGACAGAAAACCGAGGCUCCUCAGUGGCCGAGUUGGGAGAGGGUGUGAGUUCAGGAGAGCCCGGGGGCAGCAGGGAGAGGGUGCAGAAGCUCGAGCGCACCGAACCAGAGGCCCCCUCUUCUCCCGCCGCGCGGGGCUGGAGGUGCAGGCGCCAGUUCCGCGGCGCGGCCCGGCUAUGUGUCGCUCCUCCGCGCGCCGCCCGCCGCAGCCCUUGCCCUCGGGCCGCCGCCGCCGCCGCUGCCCCCCGUCGAGCCCGCGGCCGCACCCUCGGGCCGAUACUUGAGCCAGCAGAUGACCCAGGUGACAACGACCGAGAAGAGUGCCAGGAUGCUGGCCACCGACAGGCAGAUGGGCCCCACGGGCGAGGGCGAGGGCGACCCGGUGGCCGGUGCCUCGCCAGGGGGCGCCCCGCCUCCGGGGGUUCCCCCGCCGCCGUAGUGGUUGACGAAGAUGAGGCCGGUGAAGAGCAGCACCACCAUGGAGAGGAAGGAGAAGACCACGCACACGCAGCCGGCGAUUCUCUGCAGAAGACAGCAAGAUGCCCCCAGGGAAUGUUUGUGAAAAAGGAUGACUGGAUGGGAAGCAAGCUGAAGAAAAAGAGGGAAAGAAAGAGAGAAAUCAGUAAAUCACCACACAAGAGGUGGAGAAGAGGACUUAUAAAUAUUGUUUCUAUGACAUUUGAAAAUAAAUGUUUUACUCCAUGCUAAUAGUGAAUGUGGUGUCUUCAGUUUGAAGGGCUUUAAGUGAAGCUCAUUAAAACCCACUAUUUUCUAUUUCCUAGUUUUUAAUUUUGUAAUUAUUACUUGGGGUAAUAACAUUCUUUCAAUUUUUUAAGCAUUUCACUUAGUGAUGGGGUGGUGAUCAGAGAGGGUGGCUUGAGGGGACAUCCUGAGAAGGCCUUAGUCUGGCCUUGGAAUAUUACAAAGUGACACUAACCUAACUAUAGGAAGUGGCUUUCUGUCCUCUUUCCCUCAUUUAGUUGUAUGAUUGGGAAAAGCCUGAAAAUGCUCAUUUAUGCAGUGUUAAACUGGGUUCUUGUGCUUUAAGCCUUGAGUAGCUGUGUGCUGAGAAGAGACGUAAUGCUGAUGUAGGACAUAUUUAAAACAGAGUAUCUGGGAGAAGAGAAGCACAUGAACAGGAGGGCUAGUGUGGCCUCCAUACCAAGUGACUAAAAAUAGUUCUGAAGGUCUAUAUGUUUGAAUAUGGUGUGCAUAUGGGCAAAACUCUUAAGAUUUUGAAGCUUCACUUUAUUAUGCAUUCUCACCAUUGAAUGACAGACUUGAGGAACAGAGUAUAGGAUGACACUGGGGUUUCUCAAGCUCAGCAUAAUUGACAUUUGGAGCUGGAUAAGUCUUUGAUGUGGGGCUGUUCUGGGCACUGUUCAAUGUUUAGCAGCAUCUCUGGCCUCUACGCACUUGAUGUCAGUAACACCUCUCCCCAGUUGUGACAACCAAAAAUGUCUCUGGUUGAGGACCAUGGAGCUAACCACAAAGUCACAGAUUUGGUUAAAGUGAAACCAAAACCAGUAAUAUCUUACAGCUCCUAACUAGUGUAAGAUAGCAUUCUCAAAGAAUUUAAUGACUACAGGCAUUUCUUCCCUAGCUCAUGGUCAUUUAGAUAAUACUGAACUCUCUUUGAGAGGUCCAGUACAGCUUUUGUCAAUAACACAUCCUGUUGAUGGAGUCAUAAACAAUUGCGAGAAUUUGGUUAACCAUGGUAAAAUUUACUGUCUGAGUUUGGAUAGGUUUUUCAGAGGAGCCCAAAUCUUCAAUUAUUUUAUAUCCUAGAGUCAAUCAUUCAUUUUUAGGACUCAUAAAAAUGCCAUGUGGGGCUUCUGUAGGUACAGGGAGGAGGCGUGACAUUGCUAAAGAGUUUGUGUGACACAGGCCAUAG